GAUGAACGCUGGCGGCGUGCCUAAUACAUGCAAGUCGAGCGAACAGACGAGGAGUUUGCUCCUCUGACGUUAGCGGCGGACGGGUGAGUAACACGUGGAUAACCUACCUAUAAGACUGGGAUAACUUCGGGAAACCGGAGCUAAUACCGGAUAAUAUAUUGAACCGCAUGGUUCAAUAGUGAAAGACGGUUUUGCUGUCACUUAUAGAUGGAUCCGCGCCGCAUUAGCUAGUUGGUAAGGUAACGGCUUACCAAGGCAACGAUGCGUAGCCGACCUGAGAGGGUGAUCGGCCACACUGGAACUGAGACACGGUCCAGACUCCUACGGGAGGCAGCAGUAGGGAAUCUUCCGCAAUGGGCGAAAGCCUGACGGAGCAACGCCGCGUGAGUGAUGAAGGUCUUCGGAUCGUAAAACUCUGUUAUUAGGGAAGAACAGAUGUGUAAGUAACUAUGCACGUCUUGACGGUACCUAAUCAGAAAGCCACGGCUAACUACGUG
This 497-nucleotide ribosomal RNA is filed under the name uncultured bacterium. Its description in RNAcentral is "partial 16S ribosomal RNA". It matches the Rfam family "Bacterial small subunit ribosomal RNA", at positions 28 to 507 of the family's 1533-position model. The record is from RNAcentral.